GACGAACGCUGGCGGCGUGCUUAACACAUGCAAGUCGAACGGAAAGGCCCAGCUUGCUGGGUACUCGAGUGGCGAACGGGUGAGUAACACGUGGGUGAUCUGCCCCAAACUUUGGGAUAAGCCUGGGAAACUGGGUCUAAUACCGGAUAUGACCAUGGGAUGCAUGUUUUGUGGUGGAAAGCUUUUGCGGUUUGGGAUGGGCCCGCGGCCUAUCAGCUUGUUGGUGGGGUAAUGGCCUACCAAGGCGACGACGGGUAGCCGACCUGAGAGGGUGAUCGGCCACACUGGGACUGAGACACGGCCCAGACUCCUACGGGAGGCAGCAGUGGGGAAUAUUGCACAAUGGGCGCAAGCCUGAUGCAGCGACGCCGCGUGAGGGAUGACGGCCUUCGGGUUGUAAACCUCUUUCGCCAGGGACGAAGCUUUCGGGUGACGGUACCUGGAGAAGAAGCACCGGCCAACUACGUGCCAGCAGCCGCAGUAAAAC
This 487-nucleotide ribosomal RNA is filed under the name uncultured bacterium. Its description in RNAcentral is "bacterial SSU rRNA". It matches the Rfam family "Bacterial small subunit ribosomal RNA", at positions 28 to 526 of the family's 1533-position model. The record is from RNAcentral.